Molecule: ribosomal RNA, 492 nt
Filed under: uncultured bacterium
Lineage: Bacteria
Description: partial 16S ribosomal RNA
Rfam family: Bacterial small subunit ribosomal RNA
Source: RNAcentral
AGUGAACGCUGGCGGUAGGCCUAACACAUGCAAGUCGAACGGCAGCACAGUAAGAGCUUGCUCUUACGGGUGGCGAGUGGCGGACGGGUGAGGAAUACAUCGGAAUCUACUUUUUCGUGGGGGAUAACGUAGGGAAACUUACGCUAAUACCGCAUACGACCUACGGGUGAAAGCAGGGGAUCUUCGGACCUUGCGCGAUUGAAUGAGCCGAUGUCGGAUUAGCUAGUUGGCGGGGUAAAGGCCCACCAAGGCGACGAUCCGUAGCUGGUCUGAGAGGAUGAUCAGCCACACUGGAACUGAGGCACCGUCCCGACUCCUACCGGGGGCAGCAGUGGGGGAUAUUGGGCCAUUGGGGGAAACCUGAUCCAGCCGUGCCGCGUGGGGGGAGAAGGCCUUCGGGGUGUUAAGCCCUUUUUUUGGGAAAGAAAAAGAACAGGUUAAUACCCCGGUGGUUUGACGGUACCCAAAUAAUAAGCACCGGCUAACUUCGUG